Molecule: transfer RNA, 87 nt
Filed under: Cognatiluteimonas weifangensis
Lineage: Bacteria; Pseudomonadati; Pseudomonadota; Gammaproteobacteria; Lysobacterales; Lysobacteraceae
Description: Lysobacter sp. WF-2 tRNA-Leu
Rfam family: tRNA
About the family: Transfer RNA (tRNA) molecules are approximately 80 nucleotides in length. Their secondary structure includes four short double-helical elements and three loops (D, anti-codon, and T loops). Further hydrogen bonds mediate the characteristic L-shaped molecular structure. tRNAs have two regions of fundamental functional importance: the anti-codon, which is responsible for specific mRNA codon recognition, and the 3' end, to which the tRNAs corresponding amino acid is attached (by aminoacyl-tRNA synthetases). tRNAs cope with the degeneracy of the genetic code in two manners: having more than one tRNA (with a specific anti-codon) for a particular amino acid; and 'wobble' base-pairing, i.e. permitting non-standard base-pairing at the 3rd anti-codon position.
Source: RNAcentral
GCCGGAGUGGCGGAAUCGGUAGACGCAGCGGACUCAAAAUCCGCCGGUGGCAACACCGUGAGGGUUCGAGUCCCUCCUCCGGCACCA